This 378-nucleotide ribosomal RNA is filed under the name uncultured bacterium. Its description in RNAcentral is "bacterial SSU rRNA". It matches the Rfam family "Bacterial small subunit ribosomal RNA", at positions 527 to 907 of the family's 1533-position model. The record is from RNAcentral.
GUAGGGUGCGAGCGUUAAUCGGAAUNACUGGGCGUAAAGCGUGCGCAGGCGGUUGGGUAAGACAGAUGUGAAAUCCCCGGGCUUAACCUGGGAACUGCAUUUGUGACUGUCCGACUGGAGUAUGUCAGAGGGGGGUGGAAUUCCAAGUGUAGCAGUGAAAUGCGUAGAUAUUUGGAAGAACACCGAUGGCGAAGGCAGCCCCCUGGGGCAAAACUGACGCUCAUGCACGAAAGCGUGGGGAGCGAACAGGAUUAGAUACCCUGGUAGUCCACACAGUAAACGAUGAAUACUCGCUGUUUGCGAUAUACAGCAAGCGGCCAAGCGAAAGCAUUAAGUAUUCCACCUGGGGAGUACGCCGGCAACGGUGAAACUCAAAGG